AACGCACAUUGCGCCCGCCAGUAUUCUGGCGGGCAUGCCUGUUCGAGCGUCAUUUCAACCCUCAAGCCCCCGGGCUUGGUGUUGGAGAUCGGCGUGCCCCCCCGGGGCGCGCCGGCUCCCAAAUAUAGUGGCGGUCUCGCUGUAGCUUCCUCUGCGUAGUAGCACACCUCGCACUGGAAAACAGCGUGGCCACGCCGUUAAACCCCCCACUUCUGAAAGGUUGACCUCGGAUCAGGUAGGAAUACCCGCUGAACUUAA
Molecule: unclassified non-coding RNA, 258 nt
Filed under: uncultured Neonectria
Lineage: Eukaryota; Fungi; Ascomycota; Sordariomycetes; Hypocreales; Nectriaceae
Also listed under: 1 other name
Description: partial contains 5.8S ribosomal RNA, internal transcribed spacer 2, and large subunit ribosomal RNA
Rfam family: 5.8S ribosomal RNA (bases 1-52)
Source: RNAcentral